UACGGAGGGGGCAAGCGUUGUUCGGAAUUAUUGGGCGUAAAGGGUAUGUAGGCGGCCGAGUAAGUCAAGCGUGUAAGCCCGUGGCUCAACCACGGAAUUGCGUUUGAAACUACUUGGCUUGAGUGCAGGAGAGGAAAGCGGAAUUCCCAGUGUAGCGGUGAAAUGCAUUGAUAUUGGGAAGAACAUCUGUGGCGAAGGCGGCUUUCUGGUCUGUUACUGACGCUGAAAUACGAAAGCCAGGGGAGCGAACGGG
This 253-nucleotide ribosomal RNA is filed under the name uncultured bacterium. RNAcentral's name for it is "partial 16S ribosomal RNA". It matches the Rfam family "Bacterial small subunit ribosomal RNA", at positions 524 to 776 of the family's 1533-position model. The record is from RNAcentral.